Molecule: unclassified non-coding RNA, 18 nt
Filed under: Mus musculus (house mouse)
Lineage: Eukaryota; Metazoa; Chordata; Mammalia; Rodentia; Muridae
Description: oocyte_clustered_small_RNA11103
Source: RNAcentral
UAGUUCAGCUGGUUAGAA